CUCUUUUUCCCCCUCUCUCUAAUAUCAUCGUCAUUAUCUCCGGCCAUAGACGAUUCUUCUUUCCUCCGUCGCUUCUAUGACUACUUCGAUUCUCAACACCGUCUCCUCCAUCCAUUCAUCCAGAGUUACCUCCGUAGACAGAGUCGGAGUUCUCUCUCUGUAAUCCUGAUUUCGUCGACUUCACUUGUCGGCGUUCUGGUUCAUCGACAUUGGUCUUCCGAUCACCGGGAUGGAGAUUUGUUGUGCGUGCGGCGGAGACUGAUACAGAUAAAGGUUUGAUUUUUAUGUUUUUCAAUUAUCAUUUUUUCCGUUGAUUUUUAAAACUGAAUUUGUCACCGGCCGGUAGUGGUUAGAGCAUUAACCAGCUUCUCGGUAUCAAAGGAGCAUCUCAAGAAACU
Long non-coding RNA from Camelina sativa (false flax), 398 nucleotides. RefSeq lists it as uncharacterized. The record is from RefSeq and is a predicted model, not a curated record. NCBI's taxonomy places the organism in Eukaryota, Viridiplantae, Streptophyta, Magnoliopsida, Brassicales, Brassicaceae.